UACGGAGGGUGCGAGCGUUGUUCGGAAUCACUGGGCGUAAAGCGCGUGUAGGCGGCCUUGUAAGUCUGGUGUGAAAGCCCGGGGCUUACCCCCGGAAGUGCACUGGAGACUGCAAGGCUUGAGUACCGGAGAGGAAAGUGGAAUUCCUGGUGUAGCGGUGAAAUGCGUAGAUAUCAGGAGGAACACCGGUGGCGAAGGCGGCUUUCUGGACGGAUACUGACGCUGAUGCGCGAAAGCCAGGGGAGCAAACGGG
This 253-nucleotide ribosomal RNA is filed under the name uncultured bacterium. Its description in RNAcentral is "partial 16S ribosomal RNA". It matches the Rfam family "Bacterial small subunit ribosomal RNA", at positions 524 to 776 of the family's 1533-position model. The record is from RNAcentral.